GACGAACUCUGGCGGCGUGCUUAACACAUGCAAGUCGAACGGAAAGGCCCUGCUUUUGUGGGGUGCUCGAGUGGCGAACGGGUGAGUAACACGUGAGUAACCUGCCCUUGACUUUGGGAUAACUUCAGGAAACUGGGGCUAAUACCGGAUAGGAGCUCCUGCCGCAUGGUGGGGGUUGGAAAGUUUCGGCGGUUGGGCAUGGACUCGCGGCUAAUCAGCUUGUUGGUGGGGUAGUGGCUUACCAAGGCUUUGACGGGUAGCCGGCCUGAGAGGGUGACCGGCCACAUUGGGAAUGGGAUACGGCCCAGACUGCAACGGGCGGUAGAGGCGGAGAAGAUUGCAUAAUGGGCGGAAGCCGGAUGCAGCAACGCCGCGUGCGGGAAGACGGCCUUCGGGUUGUAAACCGAUUGCGCCUGUGACGAAGCGUGAGUGACGGUAAUGGGUAAAGAAGCACCGGCUAACUACGUG
This 468-nucleotide ribosomal RNA is filed under the name uncultured bacterium. Its description in RNAcentral is "partial 16S ribosomal RNA". It matches the Rfam family "Bacterial small subunit ribosomal RNA", at positions 28 to 507 of the family's 1533-position model. The record is from RNAcentral.